Molecule: ribosomal RNA, 253 nt
Filed under: uncultured bacterium
Lineage: Bacteria
Description: partial 16S ribosomal RNA
Rfam family: Bacterial small subunit ribosomal RNA
Source: RNAcentral
UACAGAGGGGGCGAGCGUUGUUCGGAAUUACUGGGCGUAAAGGGCGCGUAGGCGGGAUGGCAAGUCAGUCGUGAAAUCUCUCGGCUCAACCGAGAAACGUCGGCUGAUACUGCCGUUCUUGAGGGAUGCAGAGGAGACUGGAAUUCCCGGUGUAGCGGUGAAAUGUGUAGAGAUCGGGAGGAACACCGGUGGCGAAGGCGGGUCUCUGGGCAUCUCCUGACGCUGAGGCGCGAAAGCGUGGGGAGCAAACGGG